AGAGAGUUAGUCUAACAAAGACAGUUGAUUUCGGCUCAACAGACCAUAGCCCAAUCCUAUGACUCUCUU
RNAcentral lists this transfer RNA (69 nucleotides) under Haematopus ostralegus (Eurasian oystercatcher). Its description in RNAcentral is "tRNA-Arg". The record is from RNAcentral. Lineage: Eukaryota; Metazoa; Chordata; Aves; Charadriiformes; Haematopodidae.